This 206-nucleotide ribosomal RNA is filed under the name uncultured bacterium. RNAcentral's name for it is "partial 16S ribosomal RNA". It matches the Rfam family "Bacterial small subunit ribosomal RNA", at positions 568 to 774 of the family's 1533-position model. The record is from RNAcentral.
UGCGUAGGCGGUUAUAUUAGUCUUGUGUUAAAACUUUGGGCUCAACCCAAAGAUCGCAUAGGAAACGGUAUAACUAGAAGAAGUGAGAGGUUUAGAGAACUCUCGGUGUAGGGGUGAAAUCCGUUGAUAUCGAGGGGAAUACCAAUGCGAAGGUACUAAACUGGCACUUUCUUGACGCUGAGGCACGAAAGCGUGGGUAGCGAACG